GACCCUGGCUCAGGAUGAACGCUAGCUACAGGCUUAACACAUGCAAGUCGAGGGGCAUCAGUUUGGUUUGCUUGCAAACCAAAGCUGGCGACCGGCGCACGGGUGAGUAACACGUAUCCAACCUGCCUCAUACUCGGGGAUAGCCUUUCGAAAGAAAGAUUAAUAUCCGAUAGCAUAUAUUUCCCGCAUGGGUUUUAUAUUAAAGAAAUUCGGUAUGAGAUGGGGAUGCGUUCCAUUAGUUUGUUGGGGGGGUAACGG
This 258-nucleotide ribosomal RNA is filed under the name uncultured bacterium. RNAcentral describes it as "partial 16S ribosomal RNA". It matches the Rfam family "Bacterial small subunit ribosomal RNA", at positions 15 to 263 of the family's 1533-position model. The record is from RNAcentral.